RNAcentral lists this long non-coding RNA (682 nucleotides) under Mus musculus (house mouse). RNAcentral describes it as "long non-coding RNA chr14:75343741-75344423". Lineage: Eukaryota; Metazoa; Chordata; Mammalia; Rodentia; Muridae. The record is from RNAcentral.
AGCAGGAGCUGUGUGUGUCCUAGGCGAAGAUUGAGGAUGGCCCCUUUGCUCCAUCUUCCCAGUAGUGCAUAAUCUUUCUUGACGUUCUUUGGUUUGAAGACAUUGCUAACUACAGAGGCAGAGGAGUCACCAGCCACAUCAGCAGUGAAAACUUCAAUCUUCAGAGACACGUGCUUUGGUUCAUUUAAGAUUUUCCAUUAAUUUUAUACAGUAAUUGACACUCAGGCAAAAUAAUGUGAAAAUGUCUAGAUUUAGUAAUUUCGUCUGUGUCUUCAUUAAAAUUGAAGAUUUUAAGAAACCAGGUCACCCCUGCUCUUCCAGCCUAUGAAUACUUCUUAUGAAAUAAAAGCACUGAUUUUCACUCUGGAUCACCAUGCAGAAACUGACCUUAGUCAGAAAGGAGUGUUGCCAGAAGCUGCUGCACAGGCUGCAGGGCCGUGUACAGAGCUCUGAGGAGCGCCAGCCUAGUAAGCAUGCUGGGAGGCCGUCUCCACUACAGGAAGCCCAGGUGGUUUGGUUUUUUUCUUUUGAAAUUUCUAAAAUAAAUGACUCCAUGGGAUUUUUUUUUUACACGUGUACAUUACUACAUUAUAUAUUGGAAGUCUUUGGACCUUUGAGUGGGGUUUAAUUGUUCAUUAUCAGAGACUGUGUGCUAUUUUAUUUUUAAUAAAUGUAUGUUCCC